Molecule: transfer RNA, 64 nt
Filed under: Ocypus graeseri
Lineage: Eukaryota; Metazoa; Arthropoda; Insecta; Coleoptera; Staphylinidae
Description: tRNA-Tyr
Source: RNAcentral
GGUAAGAUGGCUGAAAAUAGGCAAUAAACUGUAAAUUUAUUCAUGAAUUUAAAUUCUCUUACCA